AAGUCGUAACAAGGUUUCCGUAGGUGAACCUGCGGAAGGAUCAUUACCUAGAGUUGUAGGCUUUGCCUGCUAUCUCUUACCCAUGUCUUUUGAGUACCUUCGUUUCCUCGGCGGGUUCGCCCGCCGAUUGGACAAUUUAAACCACUUGCAGUUGCAAUCAGCGUCUGAAAAACAUAAUAAUUACAA
This 186-nucleotide unclassified non-coding RNA is filed under the name plant metagenome. RNAcentral describes it as "partial contains small subunit ribosomal RNA and internal transcribed spacer 1". The stretch from base 1 to 46 matches the Rfam family "Eukaryotic small subunit ribosomal RNA", at positions 1786 to 1831 of the family's 1831-position model. The record is from RNAcentral.